This 497-nucleotide ribosomal RNA is filed under the name uncultured bacterium. RNAcentral describes it as "partial 16S ribosomal RNA". It matches the Rfam family "Bacterial small subunit ribosomal RNA", at positions 28 to 507 of the family's 1533-position model. The record is from RNAcentral.
GAUGAACGCUGGCGGCGUGCCUAAUACAUGCAAGUCGAGCGAACGGACGAGAAGCUUGCUUCUCUGAUGUUAGCGGCGGACGGGUGAGUAACACGUGGAUAACCUACCUAUAAGACUGGGAUAACUUCGGGAAACCGGAGCUAAUACCGGAUAAUAUUUUGAACCGCAUGGUUCAAAAGUGAAAGACGGUCUUGCUGUCACUUAUAGAUGGAUCCGCGCUGCAUUAGCUAGUUGGUAAGGUAACGGCUUACCAAGGCAACGAUGCAUAGCCGACCUGAGAGGGUGAUCGGCCACACUGGAACUGAGACACGGUCCAGACUCCUACGGGAGGCAGCAGUAGGGAAUCUUCAGCAAAGGGCGAAAGCCUGACGGAGCAACGCCGCGUGAGUGAUGAAGGUCUUCGGAUCGUAAAACUCUGUUAUUAGGGAAGAACAUAUGUGUAAGUAACUGUGCACAUCUUGACGGUACCUAAUCAGAAAGCCACGGCUAACUACGUG